GGAGGGUUGACAGAGCGGCCUAAUGUGACGGUCUUGAAAACCGUUGUCCCGCAAGGGACCGGGGGUUCGAAUCCCUCACCCUCCGC
This 86-nucleotide transfer RNA is filed under the name Luteimicrobium album. Its description in RNAcentral is "tRNA-Ser". It matches the Rfam family "tRNA". From Rfam's summary of the family: Transfer RNA (tRNA) molecules are approximately 80 nucleotides in length. Their secondary structure includes four short double-helical elements and three loops (D, anti-codon, and T loops). The record is from RNAcentral. Lineage: Bacteria; Bacillati; Actinomycetota; Actinomycetes; Micrococcales.